Molecule: non-coding RNA, 1888 nt
Organism: Rattus norvegicus (Norway rat)
Lineage: Eukaryota; Metazoa; Chordata; Mammalia; Rodentia; Muridae
Source: RefSeq, a predicted model, not a curated record
ACAGAAUGGCCUAAAAGUGACUUCAAAAGAUGUAGGAAUUUUUAUUUGGUAAAAUUCAACACCUAUCAAUAGUUCAAAAAAUGGUUAGCACCAUUUUUUCAUUUUAUGAAGAGCACAUAAGAAACCCUACAGCCCACAGCAUACUUACCACUGGGAAGUAGAACACUUUCCCCUUUAGAUUAAUAGCCUACCACCACUACAUUAAUUCCGUGUUGUGUUAUAGUCAAUGAAAUAAGGCAAGAAAAAUGUGCAAAUUGGAAUAGAAGAUAAAAAACACAAUUUUUCACAGGUGACACUGUGCACGUGGGAAAACCUUAAAGAAUGUAUAAAAGACUAGCAAUGAAAAAGUGAAUUGAGGACCUGGGGAAAUGGUGUAGAAGAUGAAGCACUUGUUGUGCUAGCAUAGGACCAGAGUUUGAAUCCCCGGAGCCAUGGAGAGCCAGAUGCAGAUUUGGUAGUGUAUAUCUGUAACUCUAGGAUGCCUCUGGCAAAAACUGGUGGCAGAGACAGGAAGUCCCCAGGAGCUCAUGGACCAGCUCGCCUGGCCUAGCAUCAGUGAACAGCAAAGGGACCCUGAAUCAAAGUGGAAGGUUGUGGACUGACAUGCAAUGUUGUCCUCUGACCGCCACAACUCGCACAUGACUAUUUGCCCACAGAGACAUGCACAUACACGUGAGACAUAUACCACACAUACAUCCUAGAUACAUACAAAAAUUUAAGUGAGUUUAGGGGGAGAAGAGAUGGCUUGAUGUUUUUUAAAGAUUACAUCCAUUUAUUGUGUAUAGGUUCUCGAGGGUGCCAUGAGCAUGUGGCAGUCAGAAGACAGUUUGAGGGAAUUGGUUCUCUCCUUUCCUCACAUGAGUGCCAAGGAUCAAACUCAGUCACCAGGCUUGGGGGCAAGUAAGUGUCUUUACUCACUGAGUCAUUUCACUAUUUCCCCUACUUUUGUGGUGAGGAUCUCACUCUGUAGACCAGGCUGGCCUUGAACUCACAGAGUUCCACCUGCCUCUGCCUCCCAAGUGCUGGGAUUAAAGGCUUGUGCACCACUCUAGCCUUUCCUUGAUGUUUUUCAAUAGGCAAAUGAUCUUAAGACCACCCCGACAGCUGGCUGUACGUUCAUGAGAACUGCUCAGUCCCUUAUUGGUUCAGUGUCUACAAAUCAACAUGACAACACCGUGUACCUCUACAGACACAUCUAUUAGAAUGACAGAAAUCAAGAGCACUGCUGUCAGAUGCUGCCGGGAAUGUGAGGCCACAGGAACACACACUCCUGAUGGGAAAACUAAGUGUGUGGAAUGUGGAAGUCCAGACUCCUCUUGCCUUUGGAUCAAGAUGUAGAACUCUCGGCUCCUCCAGCACCAUGCCUGCCUGCACGCUGCUGUGUUUCCUGCCACGAUGAUAAUGGACUAAACCCCUGAAAUGCGUUGGACAGAGUAUUCUAUCAUCUAUUCUAAUCUUGACAAUUUAAACUCACAUGGGAGACUAUAACGCUCUAGUCUUCAACCCCAUCAGAGACCUGAGGAGGAAUAAAAUCACCGGAGCCUGCAGGACAUGCACCAAGCAGCUUCCAAAACUAUAGAGAUGACAGCAUUGGCUGCCUGGACAGUUCCCCAAGUCCUCUCUAUGUCACUGGAGCAUCAUCUUCAGCCUUCUAGUCUUGAAUAACGGACAGACUUUUUUUAUGAAGCAGAAAUUAUGAAGGACUUGCCUAUCUUGUCCUUGCAACGUUCAGCAGACGACUUCCCUGUCUUGUCUGUCUAGUUUGGACAGCAUUCAGGUCACCGAUGCUCAUCAUCGUUUUUGAAGUGGAAUGGGGGUGCUGCCAGGAGCAGGCAUGCCUUGCUGUCAAAGCAGGCUUUAUUUUAAUAAAAAAUAUCUUUAAAUGUCA